This 492-nucleotide ribosomal RNA is filed under the name uncultured bacterium. RNAcentral describes it as "partial 16S ribosomal RNA". It matches the Rfam family "Bacterial small subunit ribosomal RNA", at positions 29 to 507 of the family's 1533-position model. The record is from RNAcentral.
AGUGAACGCUGGCGGUAGGCCUAACACAUGCAAGUCGAACGGCAGCACAGUAAGAGCUUGCUCUUACGGGUGGCGAGUGGCGGACGGGUGAGGAAUACAUCGGAAUCUACUUUUUCGUGGGGGAUAACGUAGGGAAACUUACGCUAAUACCGCAUACGACCUACGGGUGAAAGCAGGGGAUCUUCGGACCUUGCGCGAUUGAAUGAGCCGAUGUCGGAUUAGCUAGUUGGCGGGGUAAAGGCCCACCAAGGCGACGAUCCGUAGCCGGUCUGAGAGGAUGAGCGGCCACACGGGAAAUGAGACACGGUCCAGACUCCGACGGGAGGCAGCAGUAGGGAAUCUUGCGCAAUGGGCGAAAGCCUGACGGAGCAACGCCGCGGGAGGGAUGAAGGUCUUCGGAUCGUAAAACGCUGUUAUUAGGGAAGAACAUAUGUGGAAGUAACUGGGCACAUCGUGACGGUACCUAAUCAGAAAGCAACGGCUAACUACGUG